Molecule: ribosomal RNA, 429 nt
Filed under: Actinomycetes bacterium
Lineage: Bacteria; Bacillati; Actinomycetota; Actinomycetes
Description: Actinobacteria bacterium partial 16S ribosomal RNA
Rfam family: Bacterial small subunit ribosomal RNA
Source: RNAcentral
UAGGGAAUCUUCCGCAAUGGGCGAAAGCCUGACGGAGCAACGCCGCGUGAGUGAUGAAGGUCUUCGGAUCGUAAAACUCUGUUAUUAGGGAAGAACAAAUGUGUAAGUAACUAUGCACGUCUUGACGGUACCUAAUCAGAAAGCCACGGCUAACUACGUGCCAGCAGCCGCGGUAAUACGUAGGUGGCAAGCGUUAUCCGGAAUUAUUGGGCGUAAAGCGCGCGUAGGCGGUUUUUUAAGUCUGAUGUGAAAGCCCACGGCUCAACCGUGGAGGGUCAUUGGAAACUGGAAAACUUGAGUGCAGAAGAGGAAAGUGGAAUUCCAUGUGUAGCGGUGAAAUGCGCAGAGAUAUGGAGGAACACCAGUGGCGAAGGCGACUUUAUGGUCUGUAACUGACGCUGAUGUGCGAAAGCGUGGGGAUCAAACGGG